This 71-nucleotide microRNA precursor is filed under the name Paramuricea clavata. Lineage: Eukaryota; Metazoa; Cnidaria; Anthozoa; Malacalcyonacea; Plexauridae. The record is from RNAcentral.
UUUGUAUUACGUGCGGAAAUUGUUACCAUUUUCGGCUCAAAAAUGGUAACAAUUUCCCCACGUAAUACAAU